AACAAGCUACAAUCUGCAAAGAAAUGUAGGACACCCACCAGACCACUGGGCGCUCAGGGGAUUGUUGUCGGCUGCGGGAGGCGAGGAAGGCGGGGACGAAGGCUCCCUGUCCGGCUAAGGGAUCUACCACACAGAUCGACACUCCCAAGCCUCCUACUCACCAACACCAGAUUGAUCACACACAAAAUGGAUGAAUUACAAAUACACACGGAACUGCCGCGUGAUGAUUAUCACAAAAGCCUGGCUAAACACACUUAUCACUAGCAGCUAACAGCUAGCAGCUAACAGCUAGCAGGUUACAGGGCAAGCUACCCACCAGCAAAAACAAAACAGG
This is a long non-coding RNA of Etheostoma cragini (Arkansas darter), 334 nucleotides long. RefSeq lists it as uncharacterized. Lineage: Eukaryota; Metazoa; Chordata; Actinopteri; Perciformes; Percidae. The transcript has 3 exons. The record is from RefSeq and is a predicted model, not a curated record.